UCUUCUUCCUCGCAGAAUUUCGAGUAUUUCGCGUCAUCCAUCAAUGAAUUGAGCUCACCUGAAUCACUAACCUUGACCUUGAUGAUCCACCCACUCUCGUAUGGACUUGUAUUAACCUAUGCAAAAAAAAAAAAAACACAGUUCAUAGAAGUGUUCAAUCUACUCACAAUGAUCUAUUACGCAAUUAAAAGUUACCAAUCCAGGUUCAUCGCCUAGUCCAUCGUUCACUGCAACCACCUCUCCAGAUACUGGAGAGUAGAUAUCGCUGGUUGCCUUCACACUUUCAACAGCACCAAAGUUCUUUCCCUGGGAUACACUGCUGCCAACUUCUGGAAGCUCCACAUACACAACAUCACCCAAAUGGUGCUG
RNAcentral lists this small RNA (369 nucleotides) under Oryza sativa Japonica Group (Japanese rice). Its description in RNAcentral is "sRNA Os02g0170150". The record is from RNAcentral. Lineage: Eukaryota; Viridiplantae; Streptophyta; Magnoliopsida; Poales; Poaceae.